CCUACGGGAGGCAGCAAUUAGGAAUCUUGCGCAAUGGGGGAAACCCUGAUCCAGCCAUUCCGCGUGAGUGAAGAAGGCCUUCGGGUUGUAAAGCUCUUUCGGCAGGAACGAAACGGCGGACUCUAACAUAGUCUGUCAAUGACGGUACCUGAAGAAGAAGCACCGGCUAACUACGUGCCAGCAGCCGCGGUAAUACGUAGGGUGCGAGCGUUAAUCGGAAUUACUGGGCAUAAAGCGUGCGCAGGCGGCUUUGUAAGACGGAUGUAAAAUCCCUGGGCUUAACCGAGGAACUGCGUUCGUGACUGCAAAGCUAGAGUGCGGCAGAGGGGGGUGAAAUUCCUGGUGUAGCAGUAAAAUGCGUAGAGAUCAGGAGGAACACCGAUGGCGAAGGCAGCCCCCGGGGUUGGCACUGACGCUCAUGCACGAAAGCGGGGGGAGCAAACAGGAUUAGAUCCCCGAGUAGU
This 464-nucleotide ribosomal RNA is filed under the name uncultured Rhodocyclaceae bacterium. Its description in RNAcentral is "partial 16S ribosomal RNA". It matches the Rfam family "Bacterial small subunit ribosomal RNA", at positions 338 to 794 of the family's 1533-position model. Lineage: Bacteria; Pseudomonadati; Pseudomonadota; Betaproteobacteria; Rhodocyclales; Rhodocyclaceae. The record is from RNAcentral.